Molecule: ribosomal RNA, 441 nt
Filed under: uncultured bacterium
Lineage: Bacteria
Description: partial 16S ribosomal RNA
Rfam family: Bacterial small subunit ribosomal RNA
Source: RNAcentral
CCUACGGGUGGCAGCAGUAGGGAAUUUUGCGCAAUGGGCGAAAGCCUGACGCAGCAACGCCGCGUGAUUGAUUAAGCUCUUCGGGGGGUAAAGAUCUGUCAGUGGGGACGAAACUUGACGGUACCCACAGACGAAGCACCGGCUAACUCCGUGCCAGCAGCCGCGGUAAUACGGAGGGUGAAAGCGUUGUCCGGAAUCAUUGGGCGGAAAGAGUACGUAGGUGGCAGAUUAAGUCUGGGGUUAAAUGCAGAAGCUCAACUUCUGUUCGGCACUGGAUACUGGUAAGCUUGAAUGCGGUAGAGGAUAAGGGAAUUACUGGUGUAGCAGUGAAAUGCGUAGAUAUCUGGAGGAACAUCGGUGGCGUAAGCGAUUUUCUGGGCCGUAAUUGACACUGAGGAGCGAAAGCCUGGGUAGCAAAUGGGAUUAGAUACCCGAGUAGUC